Molecule: long non-coding RNA, 344 nt
Organism: Saimiri boliviensis boliviensis (Bolivian squirrel monkey)
Lineage: Eukaryota; Metazoa; Chordata; Mammalia; Primates; Cebidae
Source: RefSeq, a predicted model, not a curated record
GAAUCAUUCCUUUCCCUCUUCCUCCCUAACCUGUUCUUUCUUUCCACUAGAAUCCUUGCCCAGAGUCCAGCGCCUCCUUCCUGUCCAGGAACACCUUCUGGUGGAUCACAGGAUUGAUCAUCCGGGGAUACCACCAGCCCCUGGAGAGCAGUGGCCUCUGGUCCUUAAACGAGGAGGACACAUCGGAACAAGUCAUGCCUGCUUUGGUAAAGAAUUGGAAGAAGAAACGCACCAAGUCUAGGAAGGAUGCCCAGGAUACAGGCCUUCAGUCAGACGCAGAUGGUGGGUGGAAAUCUGGGACAUCCAUGAUGCCAGCCACUUGGACAUCAGCAGAGGACCUCAUG